RNAcentral lists this ribosomal RNA (310 nucleotides) under Sphaerospermopsis sp. LEGE 00249. RNAcentral describes it as "bacterial SSU rRNA". It matches the Rfam family "Bacterial small subunit ribosomal RNA", at positions 1 to 340 of the family's 1533-position model. Lineage: Bacteria; Bacillati; Cyanobacteriota; Cyanophyceae; Nostocales; Aphanizomenonaceae. The record is from RNAcentral.
AAAACGGAGAGUUUGAUCCUGGCUCAGGAUGAACGCUGGCGGUAUGCUUAACACAUGCAAGUCGAACGGACUCUUCGGAGUUAGUGGCGGACGGGUGAGUAACGCGUGAGAAUUUGGCUUCAGGUCGGGGACAACAGUUGGAAACGACUGCUAAUACCGGAUGUGCCGAAAGGUGAAAGAUUUAUCGCCUGAAGAUAAGCUCGCGUCUGAUUAGCUAGUUGGUGGUGUAAGGGACUACCAAGGCGACGAUCAGUAGCUGGUCUGAGAGGAUGAUCAGCCACACUGGGACUGAGACACGGCCCAGACUCCU